GGGUGAGUAACACGUAUGGAACCUGCCCGUAGCAGGGGGAUAAGCGGAAGAAAUUCCGUCUAAUACCGCGUAAUAACUCCGAGAGGCAUCUCCUGGGGUUUAAAGGGUAACACCGGCUACGGAUGGCCAUGCGGCGCAUUAGCUAGUUGGCGGGGUAACGGCCCACCAAGGCGACGAUGCGUAGGGGUUCUGAGAGGAAGGUCCCCCACACUGGUACUGAGACACGGACCAGACUCCUACGGGAGGCAGCAGUGAGGAAUAUUGGUCAAUGGGCGCGAGCCUGAACCAGCCAAGUCGCGUGAGGGAAGACGGUCCUAUGGAUUGUAAACCUCUUUUGUCGGGGAGCAAAAGACGCCACGCGUGGCGUUCCGAGAGUACCCGAAGAAAAAGCAUCGGCUAACUCCGUGCCAGCAGCCGCGGUAAUACGGAGGAUGCGAGCGUUAUCCGGAUUUAUUGGGUUUAAAGGGUGCGCAGGCGGAAGAUCAAGUCAGCGGUAAAAUUGAGAGGCUCAACCUCUUCGAGCCGUUGAAACUGGUUUUCUUGAGUGAGCGAGAAGUAUGCGGAAUGCGUGGUGUAGCGGUGAAAUGCAUAGAUAUCGCGCAGAACUCCGAUUGCGAAGGCAGCAUACCGGCGCUCAACUGACGCUCAUGCACGAAAGUGUGGGUAUCGAACAGGAUUAGAUACCCUGGUAGUCCACACAGUAAACGAUG
Molecule: ribosomal RNA, 710 nt
Filed under: uncultured bacterium
Lineage: Bacteria
Description: bacterial SSU rRNA
Rfam family: Bacterial small subunit ribosomal RNA
Source: RNAcentral